RNAcentral lists this ribosomal RNA (614 nucleotides) under uncultured cyanobacterium. RNAcentral describes it as "bacterial SSU rRNA". It matches the Rfam family "Bacterial small subunit ribosomal RNA", at positions 122 to 770 of the family's 1533-position model. The record is from RNAcentral. Lineage: Bacteria; Bacillati; Cyanobacteriota.
GAAUCUGCCUAGAGGUUGGGGACAACCACUGGAAACGGUGGCUAAUACCCAAUGUGCCUAUUCGUGAAAGAUUUAUCGCCUCUAGAUGAGCUCGCGUCUGAUUAGCUAGUUGGUAGGGUAAAAGCCUACCAAGGCAUCGAUCAGUAGCUGGUCUGAGAGGAUGAUCAGCCACACUGGGACUGAGACACGGCCCAGACUCCUACGGGAGGCAGCAGUGGGGAAUUUUCCGCAAUGGGCGAAAGCCUGACGGAGCAAUACCGCGUGAGGGAGGAAGGCUCUUGGGUUGUAAACCUCUUUUCUCAGGGAAGAAUGAUGACGGUACCUGAGGAAUAAGCAUCGGCUAACUCCGUGCCAGCAGCCGCGGUAAUACGGAGGAUGCAAGCGUUAUCCGGAAUGAUUGGGCGUAAAGCGUCCGCAGGUGGCAAUGUAAGUCUGCUGUCAAAGCGUCUGGCUCAACCAGAUAAAGGCAGUGGAAACUACAUAGCUAGAGUAAGGUAGGGGUAGAGGGAAUUCCUGGUGUAGCGGUGAAAUGCGUAGAGAUCAGGAAGAACACCGGUGGCGAAAGCGCUCUGCUGGACCUUAACUGACACUGAGGGACGAAAGCUAGGGGAGCG